GACGGAGGCCCCGAGCGUUGUUCGGAAUCACUGGGCUUAAAGCGCGUGUAGGCGGGACAAUAAGUACCUUGUGAAAUCCCCGGCUUCAACCCGGGAACUGCUCGGUAUACUGUUGUUCUUGAGGCAAGUAGGGGUUACUGGAACCUUAGGUGGAGCGGUGAAAUGCGUAGAUAUCUAAGGGAACGCCAGGGGCGAAAGCGGGUAACUGGGCUUGUCCUGACGCUGAGACGCGAAAGCGUAGGGAGCAAACGGG
RNAcentral lists this ribosomal RNA (253 nucleotides) under uncultured bacterium. RNAcentral describes it as "partial 16S ribosomal RNA". It matches the Rfam family "Bacterial small subunit ribosomal RNA", at positions 524 to 776 of the family's 1533-position model. The record is from RNAcentral.